This 865-nucleotide ribosomal RNA is filed under the name uncultured bacterium. Its description in RNAcentral is "bacterial SSU rRNA". It matches the Rfam family "Bacterial small subunit ribosomal RNA", at positions 56 to 917 of the family's 1533-position model. The record is from RNAcentral.
UGCAGUCGUGCGANNNNUACCUUCGGGUACGAGUAGAGCGGCGGACGGGUGAGUAACGCGUAGGAAUCUACCUAGUAGAAGGGGAUAGCCCGAGGAAACUCGGAUUAAUACCGUAUACCUCCUUAGGGAGAAAGAGGGCUUAGCUUUGAUGCUCUCGCUAUUAGAUGAGCCUGCGUAAGAUUAGCUAGUUGGUGAGGUAAUGGCUCACCAAGGCAACGAUCUUUAGCUGGUCUGAGAGGACGAUCAGCCACAUUGGGACUGAGACACGGCCCAGACUCCUACGGGAGGCAGCAGUGGGGAAUAUUGGACAAUGGGCGCAAGCCUGAUCCAGCCAUACCGCGUGUGUGAAGAAGGCUUUCGGGUUGUAAAGCACUUUAAGUAAGGAGGAAAAGGUUAUAGAUAAUACCUGUAACCCGUGACGUUACUUACAGAAUAAGGACCGGCUAAUUCCGUGCCAGCAGCCGCGGUAAUACGGAAGGUCCAAGCGUUAAUCGGAAUUACUGGGCGUAAAGGGCGCGUAGGUGGUUUAUUAAGUUGGAUGUGAAAGCCCUGGGCUCAACCUAGGAACUGCAUCCAAAACUAGUUCACUAGAGUACGAAAGAGGGAAGUAGAAUUCACAGUGUAGCGGUGGAAUGCGUAGAUAUUGUGAAGAAUACCAAUGGCGAAGGCAGCUUCCUGGUUCUGUACUGACACUGAGGUGCGAAAGCGUGGGUAGCGAACAGGAUUAGAUACCCUGGUAGUCCACGCCGUAAACGAUGACAACUAGCUGUUGGAAAACAAUAGUUUUUCAGUGGCGCAGCUAACGCAAUAAGUUGUCCNCCUGGGGAGUACGGCCGCAAGGUUAAAACUCAAAUGAAUUGACGGG